GAAGUAAAAGUCGUAACAAGGUCUCCGUUGGUGAACCAGCGGAGGGAUCAUUAA
RNAcentral lists this ribosomal RNA (54 nucleotides) under Monosporascus cannonballus. Its description in RNAcentral is "partial 18S ribosomal RNA". It matches the Rfam family "Eukaryotic small subunit ribosomal RNA", at positions 1779 to 1831 of the family's 1831-position model. The record is from RNAcentral. Lineage: Eukaryota; Fungi; Ascomycota; Sordariomycetes; Xylariales.